UCCAUCAUUCAGCAAUUUUCUUUGGGUC
Molecule: non-coding RNA, 28 nt
Filed under: Rattus norvegicus (Norway rat)
Lineage: Eukaryota; Metazoa; Chordata; Mammalia; Rodentia; Muridae
Source: RNAcentral